RNAcentral lists this ribosomal RNA (701 nucleotides) under Planomicrobium sp. CQC5. RNAcentral describes it as "bacterial SSU rRNA". It matches the Rfam family "Bacterial small subunit ribosomal RNA", at positions 71 to 757 of the family's 1533-position model. The record is from RNAcentral. Lineage: Bacteria; Bacillati; Bacillota; Bacilli; Caryophanales; Caryophanaceae.
UGUAGGAGCUUGCUCCAUUGUGUUUAGCGGCGGACGGGUGAGUAACACGUGGGCAACCUGCCCUGCAGAUCGGGAUAACUCCGGGAAACCGGUGCUAAUACCGAAUAGUUUUUUGCCCCUCCUGGGGCGAAACGGAAAGACGGUUUCGGCUGUCACUGCAGGAUGGGCCCGCGGCGCAUUAGCUAGUUGGUGGGGUAAUGGCCCACCAAGGCGACGAUGCGUAGCCGACCUGAGAGGGUGAUCGGCCACACUGGGACUGAGACACGGCCCAGACUCCUACGGGAGGCAGCAGUAGGGAAUCUUCCGCAAUGGACGCAAGUCUGACGGAGCAACGCCGCGUGAGUGACGAAGGUUUUCGGAUCGUAAAACUCUGUUGUGAGGGAAGAACAAGUACCAAGUAACUACUGGUACCUUGACGGUACCUCACCAGAAAGCCACGGCUAACUACGUGCCAGCAGCCGCGGUAAUACGUAGGUGGCAAGCGUUGUCCGGAAUUAUUGGGCGUAAAGCGCGCGCAGGCGGUCCCUUAAGUCUGAUGUGAAAGCCCACGGCUCAACCGUGGAGGGUCAUUGGAAACUGGGGGACUUGAGUGCAGAAGAGGAAAGUGGAAUUCCACGUGUAGCGGUGAAAUGCGUAGAGAUGUGGAGGAACACCAGUGGCGAAGGCGACUUUCUGGUCUGUAACUGACGCUGAGGCGCGAA